Molecule: long non-coding RNA, 512 nt
Organism: Sinocyclocheilus rhinocerous
Lineage: Eukaryota; Metazoa; Chordata; Actinopteri; Cypriniformes; Cyprinidae
Exons: 3
Source: RefSeq, a predicted model, not a curated record
UAUACUUGGGACCCACUGUGCGCUGUCUCACACGACGAAACGUGUUAGUCCAGCGAGAAAACUUUUUUUUUCUCUCGCAGCCUUACCAAAAACUGCAGCGUUCCACAAAUGUUGUACACUUUGUUUGUCCUCCAGUGACCUGCUGCAGACAACUCGAAGAGGGGUAUUCAUGGAAUGAGGUAACCCUUGGGGAGAUUUUCUAAGAAGUGUUUACCCUAAACGUGAGCUCUGCACAGUGCUGAAGGCGGAGAAAGAGCAAAAGAAAGGGAGGUAGGUUGGUCCUGCAGAGAAACAUUGAGGUUGUUCCACCCAUGAGGCCUCAUGAUUUCAGGGGCAAAUCCCCUCUUUCCCAAGACCCAGAGACAGACGGUGCACUGGGCUGCUCCUCCUCCACCAACCCUCUGCACCAGCACCCAACCAAUCUGGAAAAUAAUGUGUAGAUGGCUACACCUUAGGAGCAGAACAGAAUGACCACCUAUUCCUAUGUUUCUUUUCAAUGCAGAACAACUGCU